AUGAACGCUGGCGGCGUGCCUAAUACCUGCCAGUCGAGCGAACGGACGAGAAGCUUGCUUCUCUGAUGUUAGCGGCGGACGGGUGAGUAACACGUGGAUAACCUACCUAUAAGACUGGGAUAACUUCGGGAAACCGGAGCUAAUACCGGAUAAUAUUUUGAACCGCAUGGUUCAAAAGUGAAAGACGGUCUUGCUGUCACUUAUAGAUGGAUCCGCGCUGCAUUAGCUAGUUGGUAAGGUAACGGCUUACCAAGGCAACGAUGCAUAGCCGACCUGAGAGGGUGAUCGGCCACACUGGAACUGAGACACGGUCCAGACUCCUACGGGAGGCAGCAGUAGGGAAUCUUCCGCAAUGGGCGAAAGCCUGACGGAGCAACGCCGCGUGAGUGAUGAAGGUCUUCGGAUCGUAAAACUCUGUUAUUAGGGAAGAACAUAUGUGUAAGUAACUGUGCACAUCUUGACGGUACCUAAUCAGAAAGCCACGGCUAACUACGUG
This 496-nucleotide ribosomal RNA is filed under the name uncultured bacterium. Its description in RNAcentral is "partial 16S ribosomal RNA". It matches the Rfam family "Bacterial small subunit ribosomal RNA", at positions 29 to 507 of the family's 1533-position model. The record is from RNAcentral.